Molecule: long non-coding RNA, 561 nt
Organism: Helicoverpa armigera (cotton bollworm)
Lineage: Eukaryota; Metazoa; Arthropoda; Insecta; Lepidoptera; Noctuidae
Exons: 3
Source: RefSeq, a predicted model, not a curated record
AGUGUCCCCGCUCGACGCUGUUAGAGGCCCUGUAUUAUUAUCUAUUGAAGAUUUAAAGAUUGGUCUAAGAUGGAGUACGAUGCUCUGAUUUUGGGAUUGAUCAUUUAUUUACUCUUAGUGGGAGUAUUAGUCAUAAUUAACGAAUCAUUCUGCAAAGCGAUUUGCUUAAAACAUGCUCAGCAAGCCAACCUUGGAAGAAAACCACCCGACGUGGAAAUGAACGAAAGGAACCCAAAGAUAAUACCGAGGGAACCAAUCCUGCACCAGCCAACCAAGACGUCUUAUCGGCAAAAGUUCUAGUAUUCGACAACAGAUGGCGUUGAUACCAAUAAUGAUUCUGAUCGCCAAAAAGAAAUUGUACAAAGUCAGUCUUCGCCCAAUUUCAAUCUAAAUUAUAGUAAUAACAAAUGAGAUAUUAGAGACAAAUAAAAUUCAAUAGUUUUUAUCAAAUUAUUUACUUACAAAUUAAGUUAUUCUUAAUUAAUCUUAACUUACGAUAACGAAGUCUAGUUAAAGCAGCUUCAAUAAAUACCUCAUACUUGAAGAUGUAUUAUUUCUAAA